GACAUACGUGUUAAACGGCCGCGGUACCCUGACCGUGCAAAGGUAGCAUAAUCAUUCGCCUUUUAAUUGGAGGCUAGUAUGAAUGGAUAAACGAGGGUCUAACUGUCUCCUUUAGCCAAAUAAAAGUUAACCUUCAGGUGAAGAUGCCUGAAUAAAAUCGAAAGACAAGAAGACCCUGUUGAGCUUUACCUACCCCGUGUCUAAUAAAUAAUAAGCUAACAAUUGUUUUUCAUGCCCAGGUUUUGUUGGGGCGACAAGGGAAAAGACCUAUCUUCCCGUAAAAGAAAGACACUGAGUCGCCUAAAUGACCCAAGCUUGAGUAAAUGAAUAAGCUACCACAGGGAUAACAGGCUAAUUCUUCUUGAGAGCCCACAUUAACAGAAGAGUUUGGCACCUCGAUGUUGGCUUGGGGGAACCUAUACGGUGCAGCAG
This 432-nucleotide ribosomal RNA is filed under the name Polygordius sp. n. 4 CT-2020. RNAcentral describes it as "partial large subunit ribosomal RNA". It matches the Rfam family "Archaeal large subunit ribosomal RNA", at positions 1991 to 2630 of the family's 2987-position model. Lineage: Eukaryota; Metazoa; Annelida; Polychaeta; Polygordiidae. The record is from RNAcentral.